This 144-nucleotide small RNA is filed under the name Arabidopsis thaliana (thale cress). Its description in RNAcentral is "ATSL088850". The record is from RNAcentral. Lineage: Eukaryota; Viridiplantae; Streptophyta; Magnoliopsida; Brassicales; Brassicaceae.
AUUUGGAGUCGAAUAGGACUUGAUGUCAUGUGUAUGAUUGAGUAUAACAACUUAAACCGCAACCCGAUCUUAAAAGCCUAAGUAGUGUUUCCUUGUUAGAAGACACAAAGCCAUAGACUCAUAUGGACUUUGCCUACACCAUGA